Trichonephila clavipes is the source of this 64-nucleotide non-coding RNA. The record is from the annotation of a GenBank genome assembly. Lineage: Eukaryota; Metazoa; Arthropoda; Arachnida; Araneae; Nephilidae.
UGUAGCGUAAUGGAUAGCGUGAUUGACUUCUAAUCUAAAGGUAGUGGGUUCGAAUCCCACCUAA